This 486-nucleotide ribosomal RNA is filed under the name uncultured bacterium. RNAcentral describes it as "partial 16S ribosomal RNA". It matches the Rfam family "Bacterial small subunit ribosomal RNA", at positions 29 to 507 of the family's 1533-position model. The record is from RNAcentral.
AUUGAACGCUGGCGGCAUGCCUUACACAUGCAAGUCGAACGGCAGCACGGGUGCUUGCACCUGGUGGCGAGUGGCGAACGGGUGAGUAAUACAUCGGAACAUGUCCUGUAGUGGGGGAUAGCCCGGCGAAAGCCGGAUUAAUACCGCAUACGAUCUACGGAUGAAAGCGGGGGACCUUCGGGCCUCGCGCCAUAGGGUUGGCCGAUGGCUGAUUAGCUAGUGGGUGGGGGAAAGGCCUACCAAGGCGACGAUCAGUAGCUGGUCUGAGAGGACGACCAGCCACACUGGGACUGAGACACGGCCCAGACUCCUACGGGAGGCAGCAGUGGGGAAUUUUGGACAAUGGGCGAAAGCCUGAUCCAGCAAUGCCGCGUGUGUGAAGAAGGCCUUCGGGUUGUAAAGCACUUUUGUCCGGAAAGAAAUCCUUGGCCCUAAUACGGUCGGGGGAUGACGGUACCGGAAGAAUAAGCACCGGCUAACUACGUG